AUAUUUAUAAACUUUCCUAAUAUUAAGCACAUUGCUUCUCUUUACAACAGGAGUAUAGCCUACCUGGCUGGCAUGAAAAUGAACCACGGGGAAAAGCAUCCUCCAUUUUGCUAUUUAAGUGCAUAGUUGACAUUCUUUCCCCCCCAUACCCCCAUUUCGAUACAGGUGCAUGAUAAUGGUCCAUUCUAAAUCAAAACUAAUUUGACACACAUAUAAUUUAGUAUAUGUAAAGACAAGAUUAAAUUAAGAAUAGUGUGAUGGGUGACAAUAUUAGCCUAUCACUUGUGGAUUAUGUAUUAUCACAUGCGAAUGACGCCCAGCUUGUGCAGUAAGGCGAGGAAUAACUCAUGCGUUUUUUUGCGACUUCUUCAAAUCGUAGGUCGCACACCGUAUGUAGCCCAGCCCAUAGGCCUAUAUGUUUUGAUAAGGUUUUUUAUCACAACUAAAGUGGCCAAAUAACUCCUUAAAACGAAGCACAGGGAGCGCAGGUAGUCUAGUGGUUAGAGUGUAGGGGCGGCAGGUAGCCUAGUGGUUAGAGCGUAGGGGCAGCAGGUAGCCUAGUGGUUAAAGUGUAGGGGGCGGCAGGUAGCCUGGUGGUUAGAGUGUAGGGGCGGCAGGUAGCCUAGUGGUUAGAGCGUAGGGGCAGCAGGUAGCCUAGUGGUUAAAGUGUAGGGGCGGCAGGUAGCCUAGUGGUUAGAGCGUAGGGGCGGCAGGUAGCCUGGUGGUUAGAGCGUAGGGGCGGCAGGUAGCCUGGUGGUUAGAGCGUAGAGGCGGCAGGUAGCCUAGUGGUUAGAGUGUAGGGGCGGCAGGUAGCCUAGUGGUUAAAGCGUUGGGCCAGUAACCCGAAAGGUUGCAAAAUCAAAUCCCCUGAGCUGACAAGGUAAAAAUCUAUCAUUCUGUCCCUGAACAGGGCAGUUAACCCACUGUUCCAAGGUCGUCGUUCAAAAUAAGAAUUUGUUCUUAACUGACUUGCCUAGUUAAAUAAAGGAUAAUGAUAAUAAAUAUUAAACCGCUUUAUAACCGGUGCCUAACUGGCAGACAUAAGCUGUGUGAGUUUCACGUUUGGGGAAGAUCAUUUUCACCAUAAAUAUGCACUUUUUAUAAUAAACUAUUAAAUGCACCUUUUAAAAUAAACUAUUAAAUGCACCUUUUAAAAUAAACUAUUAAAUGCACCUUUUAAAAUAAACUAUUAAAUGCACCUUUUUAAAAUAAACUAUUAAAUGUGUGCGCAUUGAUACGCUUCUAAUGUGAAGAAAAAGACCAAUAGAAAAAGCCUUAAUAGUUUAUCAACAUUUUAAGCUAAACGUUCUGAUCUGUUGCAUCAGCCUCACUGCUUUAAAAAAAAUAAAGAAAUUGGAUGCGAGUUGCUGUAUUCAAUUGGGAUCUAUCGCAUCCCACAACUGUCCUACAGUAUAUUUAUUUAUUUAUUGCACUGAAGAA
This is a long non-coding RNA of Oncorhynchus tshawytscha (Chinook salmon), 1440 nucleotides long. Lineage: Eukaryota; Metazoa; Chordata; Actinopteri; Salmoniformes; Salmonidae. The record is from Ensembl.